CUUACAUCCACAUACAUACACAUGCAUAACAUGGUAACCAUGCAGAUUUAUGCCAAAAUUUUCAGUUGUUGUUUUGCUAUCUUGAUUCUAUAGCAUGUUCUUCUCAAAGAGGAAACUCUAUUUCUAUAUAUUGUGUGCUGUGUACACCAAUUCCAAUGUCCCAUCUACUAAUGCUUUUAAUCAUGACGGAUUAUUUUGACACUUGCAAAAUCAUUUGCUAACUUAUGGCCAUGGGUACUUUUAUUGACUUCAGUGAAAAGAAGAUGAAUUUGCUAGCCACUGUAGUUCCAAAGAAAGAAAUGGGAGGCUGGAAGCCAGUGAAAAGAGAGAGAGUAACUUUUUCAGACAGAAAAUCUGAGAAGGUGCACAAGGAAAAUGAACCAUACACUGAAAAGUAUCCACAGGUCAGAAGAGACUGUGCAAUUGUCAUUGAAUCUGAUGAGGAUACUGAUGCAGGGUUUUCCUGCUUGGUUGGAAAAAAUGCAGGAAAAGACCUAUUCGGGAAAUUGACGACGGAAGAAGAGGAAGAAGCUCAGUCGAUUUUGCAAAAAGCAAGGAGACGCAAGAGAAGGCAUUCUAACGCUAUGCCUAUAAUAAUCCUCUGAAGAAGGUACAACUUGAUAUUUUCAGAUGCCGAGUCCUAUGAGCUUUGUUUAGCGCAUAUGAGAAAUUUGUUUGUUCAUUACACUUUGGUCACAAUCUUAUGUAUGUUUUAUUGUUUAUUUUUCUGAUCUACACAUAUAAAUUUACCUAAUUUGGGUUUUUGCUUUUUCGAAAGUACUUUACUAAUUUGAAUUUUAAAG
RNAcentral lists this long non-coding RNA (803 nucleotides) under Lupinus mutabilis. RNAcentral describes it as "partial ncRNA". Lineage: Eukaryota; Viridiplantae; Streptophyta; Magnoliopsida; Fabales; Fabaceae. The record is from RNAcentral.